GCUCCCAUUUCCCCGCAGAAGGGAGCCAGGAGGGAAGAGAGAGAGAGAGAGAGAAGAGGGCUGCUGACCUGGUUUUCAUUUCUGCUCACUGACACUGUCCUGCCACUGCCACAUAAAGAAACAUGCCCCAGCCGGUCCCUAUGUUAUUGAAGUCUCAGAUCCAGGAGUUGGGGCUUAUCACAGUGGUGAACAGAGAAGCGGUAUGUAACUGUCCAGGCUGACAGAAUCAGGGUUCAAUAGGACCUCAGGCGGCCAGAUAAAACUGAGCAAAGAUCAGCGUAAAGUCCUGCACUGAGUUUGAAAGAGCAAAUCUGAAAGGAGAAGACAUGUCGAAACACCACGGACAUUUCAGUAGCUACGCUCAGGGCUGGCUAACUGGGAAAUGCCUGGGAACCAUCUGCAGCCUCAAACCACGGUCCAGAGCAGCCGGGACUGAGGGAGCUCACGGCCGGCCGCUCAAGGCAGGAGACUCCUGCGGCUCUCACCACCACAGCUGCUCGCUGGCAAACGGAAACACCCUCUGCGGACAUGCCCGAUCGUCCGUCAGUUACACGGUAGAAUGAGCAAGCUGCCAAAGGCCAAUGCCCAGGACAGGAAGGGUCUAGAAACUGCGGAGUAACAAUGGUUGGAAAAGACCUAGGGAGCUGCACGGCAGCAGUGGGAAGUCAAAGAGGUAAUGCCGGGACUGAAAACUCAGGAAGCGGCAACACAAACACGUCAU
Manis javanica (Malayan pangolin) is the source of this 721-nucleotide non-coding RNA. NCBI's taxonomy places the organism in Eukaryota, Metazoa, Chordata, Mammalia, Pholidota, Manidae. The record is from RefSeq and is a predicted model, not a curated record.